This 118-nucleotide ribosomal RNA is filed under the name Pteropus alecto (black flying fox). Lineage: Eukaryota; Metazoa; Chordata; Mammalia; Chiroptera; Pteropodidae. The record is from RNAcentral.
GUGUACGGCCAUGCCACCCUGAAAGUGCCCGAUCUUGUCUGAUCUCGGAAGCUAAGCAUGGUCGGGCCUGGUUAGUACCUGGAUGGAGGCUACGUAGGAAGACCAGGUGCCGUAGGCA